GUUAACGCGUUAACAAUGACCCCCUCGGGAGUACGCCCGCAAGGUUAAAACUCAAAUGAAUUAACGGGGGCCCCCACAAGCGGUGGAGCAUGUGGUUUAAUUUGAUGCAACGCGAAGAACCUUACCUACUCUUGACAUCCAGAGAACUUUCCAGAGAUGGAUUGGUGCCUUCGGGAACUCUGAGACAGGUGCUGCAUGGCUGUCGUCAGCUCGUGUUGUGAAAUGUUGGGUUAAGUCCCGCAACGAGCGCAACCCUUAUCCUUUGUUGCCAGCGGUUCGGCCGGGAACUCAAAGGAGACUGCCAGUGAUAAACUGGAGGAAGGUGGGGAUGACGUCAAGUCAUCAUGGCCCUUACGAGUAGGGCUACACACGUGCUACAAUGGCAUAUACAAAGAGAAGCGACCUCGCGAGAGCAAGCGGACCUCAUAAAGUAUGUCGUAGUCCGGAUUGGAGUCUGCAACUCGACUCCAUGAAGUCGGAAUCGCUAGUAAUCGUAGAUCAGAAUGCUACGGUGAAUACGUUCCCGGGCCUUGUACACACCGCCCGUCACACCAUGGGAGUGGGUUGCAAAAGAAGUAGGUAGCUUAACCUUCGGGAGGGCGCUU
This 605-nucleotide ribosomal RNA is filed under the name Serratia sp. B006. RNAcentral describes it as "bacterial SSU rRNA". It matches the Rfam family "Bacterial small subunit ribosomal RNA", at positions 851 to 1455 of the family's 1533-position model. Lineage: Bacteria; Pseudomonadati; Pseudomonadota; Gammaproteobacteria; Enterobacterales; Yersiniaceae. The record is from RNAcentral.